Molecule: non-coding RNA, 91 nt
Filed under: insect gut metagenome
Description: ES056 sRNA
Rfam family: ES056 sRNA
About the family: Differentially expressed under several chemical stress and fermentation conditions.
Source: RNAcentral
GUUCAGUAGUAUUUUUUAUUUUACCUCCUGCUGGAGGAUAUGAUUUUCUUCUACACACAGCAGUGCAACAUCUGUCAGUACUUCUGGUGCC